UACGUAGGGGGCAAGCGUUAUCCGGAUUUACUGGGUGUAAAGGGGGCGCAGGCGGCAUGGCAAGUCAGAUGUGAAAUACCGGGGCUCAACCCCGGGACUGCAUUUGAAACUGUCAGGCUGGAGUACAGGAGAGGCAGGCGGAAUUCCUAGUGUAGCGGUGAAAUGCGUAGAUAUUAGGAGGAACACCAGUGGCGAAGGCGGCCUGCUGGACUGUAACUGACGCUGAGGCCCGAAAGCGUGGGGAGCAAAC
This 250-nucleotide ribosomal RNA is filed under the name uncultured prokaryote. RNAcentral's name for it is "partial 16S ribosomal RNA". It matches the Rfam family "Bacterial small subunit ribosomal RNA", at positions 524 to 773 of the family's 1533-position model. The record is from RNAcentral.